RNAcentral lists this ribosomal RNA (463 nucleotides) under uncultured bacterium. Its description in RNAcentral is "partial 16S ribosomal RNA". It matches the Rfam family "Bacterial small subunit ribosomal RNA", at positions 339 to 795 of the family's 1533-position model. The record is from RNAcentral.
CUACGGGGUGCAGCAGUCGAGAAUAUUUAGCAAUGGGCGAAAGCCUGACUAUGCGACGCCGCGUGAGGGAUGAAGGCUUUCGGGUUGUAAACCUCUUUAGUCAGGAAAGAAUUCCUUGCGGUUAAUACCCGUAAGGUUGACGGUACCUGAAGAAUAAGCCACGGCCAACUCCGUGCCAGCAGCCGCGGUAAUACGGAGGUGGCAAGCGUUACUCGGAAUCAUUGGGUGUAAAGGGCAAGUAGGCGGUCUGGUAAGUGAGGGGUGAAAUCUUCCGACUUAAUCGGAAAACUGCCUUUCAAACUGACAGACUUGAGGCAGGGAGGGGGAAAUGGAAUUCCCGGUGUGGGGGUGAAAUCCGUAGAUAUCGGGAAGAGCACCGGCGGCGAAGGCGAUUUCCUGGCCCUGUCCUGACGCUAAAUUGCGAAAGCUAGGGGAGCAAACAGGAUUAGAUACCCCCGUAGUC